RNAcentral lists this ribosomal RNA (608 nucleotides) under uncultured fungus. RNAcentral describes it as "eukaryotic LSU rRNA". The stretch from base 234 to 387 matches the Rfam family "5.8S ribosomal RNA". The record is from RNAcentral. Lineage: Eukaryota; Fungi.
CUUGGUCAUUUAGAGGAAGUAAAAGUCGUAACAAGGUCUCCGUAGGUGAACCUGCGGAGGGAUCAUUACACAAAUAUGAAGGCGGGCUGGAACCUCUCGGGGUUACAGCCUUGCUGAAUUAUUCACCCUUGUCUUUUGCGUACUUCUUGUUUCCUUGGUGGGUUCGCCCACCACUAGGACAAACAUAAACCUUUUGUAAUUGCAAUCAGCGUCAGUAACAAAUUAAUAAUUACAACUUUCAACAACGGAUCUCUUGGUUCUGGCAUCGAUGAAGAACGCAGCGAAAUGCGAUAAGUAGUGUGAAUUGCAGAAUUCAGUGAAUCAUCGAAUCUUUGAACGCACAUUGCGCCCUUUGGUAUUCCAAAGGGCAUGCUUGUUCGAGCGUCAUUUGUACCCCCAAGCAUUGCUUGGUGUUGGGCGUCUUGUCUCUAGCUUUGCUGGAGACUCGCCUUAAAGUAAUUGGCAGCCGGCCUACUGGUUUCGGAGCGCAGCACAAGUCGCACUCUCUAUCAGCAAAGGUCUAGCAUCCAUUAAGCCUUUUUUUCAACUUUUGACCUCGGAUCAGGUAGGGAUACCCGCUGAACUUAAGCAUAUCAAUAAGCGGAGGA